Molecule: long non-coding RNA, 329 nt
Filed under: Panax ginseng (ginseng)
Lineage: Eukaryota; Viridiplantae; Streptophyta; Magnoliopsida; Apiales; Araliaceae
Description: long non-coding RNA (PGIN_LNC010020)
Source: RNAcentral
GAAUCCCUAUAUUCUGCCUGUAUCUGCUUUCUGAGCUCUUCGGUCAGAAGAGGACCCUUUCCCUCAAGCUCCUUUAUUUUAAGACGAAGCUUGUGGCGUUUGUUCUUAUGUCUCCGUCCUUCAUCCUGGACCUUUGAUUGAGCCUCGCCAAGUUGAAUAGUCAGGCUUCGGUUGGCCGAAGAAAACUCCUCAUUCUUGGCCCUCAAGAGCAGGUUUUCUUCGACCAAGCCGGCGUUCAGAUCGGUUAAAGUUUGUUGGCUGGCUUCGGAGGCGGCCAACCUAUCUCUUGUGGCCCUUAGUUCAUCAUCAGACGUCCUCAAGUCCAUCUU